Molecule: long non-coding RNA, 572 nt
Organism: Ochlerotatus camptorhynchus
Lineage: Eukaryota; Metazoa; Arthropoda; Insecta; Diptera; Culicidae
Exons: 3
Source: RefSeq, a predicted model, not a curated record
UCGGGCGUGUGUAAAUAGUGAGGAUUUAAUUGCGUAACAUUUUGCCCACUAAUCGCUAUAUUCAGAACCACACGCCCCCAACGACCACAAAAAAUGCUCUCCAGAGUUGUAAUAUUGUAACCAAACUUGGAAGCAGGGGUGCAAGUUAUUUUGAUCGAUUCUGUUCAUCGACUUUCUGUGUCGUUAAUAACUCAACGGCAAACACAUUCAUUGAUACGUUCGUUGUUCUGGAUGAUAGAAGAGCAUAGCAGAAAUAGUACGAAAUAGGUUAGUGAAGCCAUGAUCAUCAAAAGAGGAAACUGAUGAAGAGAAUUGACUUUCACCCCUCUGCUUCAAAGCCCCUUAAUUCAGUCGGGAGGAGCUUUAGCUGGGUGGACACUGAUAUUCUACCGGCACAGCAGAUGAAGUGUAUGAUAAAAUACCCAAAAUGGGUGGGGCAUGAUUUUCUAGGAUUUGAAAGAUGAUUAUUUUGUCAUGUCCGAUUGACGAGCGAUAAAACCGUAAAAAGAGGAGGCUUCAACUGAUAUGUCCUUAAGUGUUUCUUUCGUUCAUACAGUAGCUGACCGAAGCUC